Molecule: transfer RNA, 63 nt
Filed under: Pituophis catenifer sayi
Lineage: Eukaryota; Metazoa; Chordata; Lepidosauria; Squamata; Colubridae
Description: tRNA-Val
Source: RNAcentral
CAAAAAGUAGCUUACCCAAAGCAUUCGGCUUACAACCGAACGACAUUAUAAUAAUCUUUUUGA